GAUACAGCUCAGAGGGUGUAAAUCUAAAAACAUUUUUGUUGGCGAGAUACAUCGGGGUGGUGUUAGUGUCAUAGGACAGUAGUUAAAAUGACAAGCUCAAAGCCUUAGCCAGGAGUGCGAGAGUACUUGGCUGAAAAAUGGGCAUACAGCAGGGAGAAAGCACUAAAAAAAAAAAAAAAAAAAGGUUGGCAACCAGAUAGCCCAGACCACAAACAGACUGAGUGGUUUCAAAAAGGAACAAAGGACUUGGUACAGUGCCAAAAGGGCGUUGGCUAAGAGUAAGCAGGCAGAACUCGAUUUUGAUGUAAAAUCAAGGGGAGAAGAAAAGGACGAAAUAGAUUGGGGUUAUUUAGAGUGGAAAGCCAGAGAAUGGCAGAUGAUUUGGUGGAAAGUGGCAGUGGCUACAGGAAAGUCUGAAAUGGCAGAGGAACCGCAAGGAGAUUACAGUGAAUAUAUCAAUCCCCGGGGACAACGCAUGCAACCAGGAGGAAAAACAGGUCGUGCCUCCAUACCUAGGGGCAGAACGACCUUAUCCCCUUGACCAAUACUGUAAUGACGUCUUUACACCCCACAAUGACACCUCCCCUGUCCCCAGACCUUCACCCCUUCACCACAUGAGUUCAUAGAGGUGGAGGAACCAUUAGGGUUCAUUGAGGAGGUGGUCUGACACCGAGUCACAGUGCAUUGUGAUUACUCAUUAGAAUUGUUACAGACCCAUUGUUCUGAUUUCUUAUCUCUGACUACGAUAUUCACAGACCAAAUGAAAGAUGCACUCACCCGAUACGUAAAACAGAGUACUUACCAGUCCACAGCGCAAGCGAGAUAUUCUAUCUGAAGCAGCAGGUUGGUUUGGGGCAGCUCAUGAAUAAUGUGAAUGCUGAGUUUCAGAAACAGCAGAAUGAUGAGACAAACUGGUAUAAUGCUCAAAGCUUUAUCAAUACAGCUACAGGGGUACAUUAUAAUGCUGUUGCUAUUAAAUUAGUGGUGAAAGCUUUUAAGGACUUAAUUACGGCAGUAAUGACAGAUGUAAAUGUUAUACAACAUGAAGAGAGAUGUUAUAGAAUGGGGACCCUCAUGGUGGCACACGUUAAUCGUGAUAUAACAGAUCUAUUAAAUAAUAGGCUCCCUAUCUCACACAGAUCAUCUUUACAGAAUAAAAAAGGAGGCCUCGGAAUUGAAUGGGCGGCUGACAUAUGGGACGCUGUACUCACCCGCCCAAAUCAAGACUCCAGACAUACAUUAUCAAAUUAUGAUCCUUUCAGUGCAAGCGUUGGGGAUGCCAGAGGGAAACCAUGUCUAUACCCUUAAUAAUAUAAGAUGGGUAGCUACUGGUAGUAUGUUUAAUAUUGAAUGUUGUAUUCAAGUCAAAAGAAUUGUUGUAUGUACUUGUAAUGCUCGCAUGAACGCAACUAAUCUAUCAUUGAGGGCAGAAGUACGCUCAUUACGGGGGUUUGAGCAGAUUGUGCAACUAAACCAAACCCAUUGGUCACCUAUCAAUGGGUACCCGGCUCUGUGCUAUUAAUAUUAAUUAUUGCUCAUAUGUAAAUUAAACUAUGACUUUAGGCAGCCAUGUUAUACAUCCCUCAACCCCUCAGCUGAUUAAGUAUCAGGACCAGCAAGCUCAGGCAUUUUUGCACACAAUAGACCAUAAACCCUUAUAUCAAACAAUUAAGAAAAUAACCGAGGCUCUAACUGAAAUUCAGCAUGAAGCAGUGUUAGCUGAGGUACAUGCUAAAAUGGCUCUAAAAUAAAUCUGUCCCGGACAUCUGGUAAAGAUUGGGAGUUUGGUAAAGGUGGACCUGACUGGUUUAGUUGGUGAAACAUCUCUGGUAGGAUUGCAUCCUUAGGCUCAUUUGUGUGCCUGAUUAUUGUACUCAUCGUAUUCUGGAGAAUGCGGAGGAACAUGCGCACCAACAAGAGUGCAGACAUCUGCAAGAUCAACCCCUGAGACCUGCACCCAUCUACCAAAAUGCUUUGAGCAUUUAAGACAUUAGGUCCCUGACAAGUGCUAGUAACCUCUGGCGGGGACCCGAAGAUCAAGUCCUGUGGUCUAUCUGACCUAUGGUCAUGGACCAUAAGGGGGGACUGAAGGAACCGAACAGGAUAGCAGUAUCAACCAACAAUCAUUUAGGUGCGGUUUUACAAUGUUUAGUAAGGAA
Polyodon spathula (Mississippi paddlefish) is the source of this 2159-nucleotide long non-coding RNA. RefSeq lists it as uncharacterized. The transcript is spliced from 3 exons. The record is from RefSeq and is a predicted model, not a curated record. Lineage: Eukaryota; Metazoa; Chordata; Actinopteri; Acipenseriformes; Polyodontidae.